AUGCAGGCCCCGCUCCGUCCGGCCCACCCCGUGCCGGGCUUCGCCGACUCCCGCCUCCCCUCUACCAACGACGGCCAGGGCCGCCUCUUCUACCCCGGCUGCAUCCCCCUCUCCUUCUCCCCGAGCCCCAGGCCGUCGCCGCUCGCCACCCCCUUCACCCCGAGCCCCAGAUCGCCCACCUCCUCCUCCUCCUCCUCCGGCACCCUCCUCGACGACGCCGGUGGCGACGAUGCGGUCGCGACGGAGCACCGCGCCGUGCUCCACUACAAGACGGCGCGCAACGACCACCACGACCGCUGCGUCGCCCUCCUCACCGACGCCGCGCGCGAGGCCGACGCGCUCCGCCUGCAAAAUGAGAAGCUCCGCGAGGUCAACUGCGACCUGGCCUGCCGCUUCGCCAGGCUCGGCAACGACCAGGCCGCCUCAAGCCUCCUCCUGCUCGGGCAGAUGCCGGCCACCCCGGCGGGGAAGCACGCCCGGAUGCCCAAGAGCAUCUCCAUCCGCCGGUCGACUGGGAGCGGCGGCGGCCACGCCAAGGGUCUGCUCACCAACGACAUCGUCACGGAGAGCGCCAAGGCAGAGGAGCACCGGGUCAGCACCAAGGCAGAGGAGCACCACGUCGGCCUUGCCAAGGCGGAGGGGCACCACGUCGGCGCCAAGGCCGAGGAGAGCGGCAAGGUGCGCAAGGCCGCCGCCGAACUCAACGUCUACACCCAGGGCACGUACAAAACAGAGCUGUGCCGCAAUUGGGAGAGCACAGGAGUGUGCCCCUACGAUGACAAUUGCCGGUUCGAUACUGAGCUCCGCCCAGUCAGCCGCCACCCGCGCUACAAGACCCAGGCAUGCCGCCUGUUCGCCAGCGGCCUCUGCAUUUACGGGCACCGCUGCCACUUUUGCCACUCCGGCCGCCCGUGA
RNAcentral lists this ribosomal RNA (915 nucleotides) under Triticum aestivum (bread wheat). Its description in RNAcentral is "partial small subunit ribosomal RNA". The record is from RNAcentral. Lineage: Eukaryota; Viridiplantae; Streptophyta; Magnoliopsida; Poales; Poaceae.